GCAAAACUGUGUUGAAUGAACUGUAGAUGGAAAUUCUCUCCUUCCCACCGAGGAGCCGCUGCAGGUUGCAGACUCCCAGAAUGCCACACUGAGAAGAGGAGGGCUAAAAUUCUAGAGCAGAAUCCCUGGGGCAGCCCCUGCUGAAGAAGGGUGCAUCUGUUGAGAAUCUCAUCACCGCCCCCACCCCGCCCAGCCUUCAAUUUAGAGGAAUUUCUAGUUCACGCAGAAUGAAGACAAGAUCACAUAAGUGAGGACGACGCCCCAUUUACAAGUGUGGUUUGGAAGACUGAAGUGGAAACCUUGGGAAGGUGGGCCUCAGAGUAUGUCAGCUGGGGUCAGACGGGAACAGGAGUCUGGCUCAACACACAUUUAUUGCACUCCUGCUUCAUGCCAAGAAAUGCACCAAAAUCUGGGACUGUGUAACACAGCAAAGGAAAAGACUCAUCUCCAGGAAGCCCCCUUGUCUAGGAAGAGAAAUUGAAUAUCAGCAUAAGGUGGUGAAAAGCUAUGAAGGAGAUGAGUGCCACGAGUCCAUGGAGGAAGGAUUCUAGCCUGGACAGGUGAUUGUGGUGAAUAGUCAUGAGAAUCUGGGAACUGGCUCCUGCUCUGUCUAUCUUGGAGAUGCAUCUUUUGUGAGAGGACAGGGCAAGAAUAGGGAGGCUUAGGCAAUGGGGAGUUUCUGAGUAGAUAAAGCAGAUGGCAGAGCAAAGGGACAGAGCCUGGCGAGAGGCUACUCCCUGUAGCAACCUGCCUAAGAGUGAGAGGAAAGCAAGGCAUGGCUAUGAGCACAUGUAGUCUCAGCUACCUGGGAAGCUGAGGCUGGGAGAUCACUUGAGCCCGGGAGUUCAAGACCAGCCUAGGCAACAUAGUGAGACCAU
This 878-nucleotide long non-coding RNA is filed under the name Pan troglodytes (chimpanzee). Its description in RNAcentral is "lincRNA". Lineage: Eukaryota; Metazoa; Chordata; Mammalia; Primates; Hominidae. The record is from RNAcentral.